AGGGAGAGGGAGAGGGACUCCUGCGGAAACAGGGACAGCAACAGGGACAGGGACCCCGGUAGGGACAGGUACAGGGAGAGGGACCUGCAUAGGGACCCCUGUGGGGCCAGGAAAAGGGACCCCCGUGGAGACAGGGACAGGGACCCCCGCGAGGACAGGGAGCUGCUCAGGGAUAGGGACCCCUGCGGGGACAGGGACAAGGACCCCCGCGGGCACGGGGACUCGCUCAGGGACAGGGAUGGGAAUGGGGGUGGAGAUGGGGAUAGGGACCCCCGUGGGCAUGGGGACCUGCUCAGCGAUAGGGACAGGGAUGGAGACUCCCGCAGGGAGGGGGACUCACUCAGGGACAGGGAGCUC
RNAcentral lists this long non-coding RNA (357 nucleotides) under Serinus canaria (Common canary). RNAcentral describes it as "lncRNA (ENSSCAG00000008170.1)". The record is from RNAcentral. Lineage: Eukaryota; Metazoa; Chordata; Aves; Passeriformes; Fringillidae.